Molecule: ribosomal RNA, 273 nt
Filed under: uncultured bacterium
Lineage: Bacteria
Description: partial 16S ribosomal RNA
Rfam family: Bacterial small subunit ribosomal RNA
Source: RNAcentral
UACGAAGGGGGCUAGCGUUGUUCGGAAUUACUGGGCGUAAAGCGCACGUAGGCGGAUAUUUAAGUCAGGGGUGAAAUCCCGCAGCUCAACUGCGGAACUGCCUUUGAUACUGGGUAUCUCGAGUAUGGAAGAGGUGAGUGGAAUUCCGAGUGUAGAGGUGAAAUUCGUAGAUAUUCGGAGGAACACCAGUGGCGAAGGCGGCUCACUGGUCCAUUACUGACGCUGAGGUGCGAAAGCGUGGGGAGCAAACAGGAUUAGAUACCCCCGUAGUCC